CAGCAGCCGCGGGAAUACGUAGGGUGCGAGCGUUAAUCGGAAUUACUGGGCGUAAAGCGUGCGUAGGCGGCUUCUUAAGUCGGAUGUGAAAUCCCUGAGCUUAACUUAGGAAUUGCAUUCGAUACUGGGAAGCUAGAGUAUGGGAGAGGAUGGUAGAAUUCCAGGUGUAGCGGUGAAAUGCGUAGAGAUCUGGAGGAAUACCGAUGGCGAAGGCAGCCAUCUGGCCUAAUACUGACGCUGAGGUACGAAAGCAUGGGGAGCAAACAGGAUUAGAUACCCCAGUAGUCCCUGUCUCUUAUAC
RNAcentral lists this ribosomal RNA (301 nucleotides) under uncultured bacterium. RNAcentral's name for it is "partial 16S ribosomal RNA". It matches the Rfam family "Bacterial small subunit ribosomal RNA", at positions 509 to 807 of the family's 1533-position model. The record is from RNAcentral.